GGGGAAGGGUUUAUCGGGAUUACUGGGGCGUAAAGCGCACGCAGGCGGUCUGUCAAGUCGGAUGUGAAAUCCCCGGGCUCAACCUGGGAACUGCAUUCGAAACUGGCAGGCUAGAGUCUUGUAGAGGGGGGUAGAAUUCCAGGUGUAGCGGUGAAAUGCGUAGAGAUCUGGAGGAAUACCGGUGGCGAAGGCGGCCCCCUGGACAAAGACUGACGCUCAGGUGCGAAAGCGUGGGGAGCAAACAGGAUUAGAUACCCUGGUAGUCCACGCCGUAAACGAUGUCGACUUGGAGGUUGUGCCCUUGAGGCGUGGCUUCCGGAGCUAACGCGUUAAGUCGACCGCCUGGGGAGUACGGCCGCAAGGUUAAAACUCAAAUGAAUUGACGGGGGCCCGCACAAGCGGUGGAGCAUGUGGUUUAAUUCGAUGCAACGCGAAGAACCUUACCUACUCUUGACAUCCAGAGAACUUUCCAGAGAUGCAUUGGUGCCUUCGGGAACUCUGAGACAGGUGCUGCAUGGCUGUCGUCAGCUCGUGUUGUGAAAUGUUGGGUUAAGUCCCGCAACGAGCGCAACCCUUAUCCUUUGUUGCCAGCGGUCCGGCCGGGAACUCAAAGGAGACUGCCAGUGAUAAACUGGAGGAAGGUGGGGAUGACGUCAAGUCAUCAUGGCCCUUACGAGUAGGGCUACACACGUGCUACAAUGGCGCAUACAAAGAGAAGCGACCUCGCGAGAGCAAGCGGACCUCAUAAAGUGCGUCGUAGUCCGGAUUGGAGUCUGCAACUCGACUCCAUGAAGUCGGAAUCGCUAGUAAUCGUGGAUCAGAAUGCCACGGUGAAUACGUUCCCGGGCCUUGUACACACCGCCCGUCACACCAUGGGAGUGGGUUGCAAAAGAAGUAGGUAGCUUAACCUUCGGGAGGGCGCUUACCACUUUGUGAUUCAUGACUGGGGUGAAGUCGUACAGGGGGGGAACCCGAAAAAAGGGGGG
This 986-nucleotide ribosomal RNA is filed under the name Enterobacter cancerogenus. Its description in RNAcentral is "bacterial SSU rRNA". It matches the Rfam family "Bacterial small subunit ribosomal RNA", at positions 532 to 1533 of the family's 1533-position model. Lineage: Bacteria; Pseudomonadati; Pseudomonadota; Gammaproteobacteria; Enterobacterales; Enterobacteriaceae. The record is from RNAcentral.